UGGUCAUUUAGAGGAAGUAAAAGUCGUAACAAGGUCUCCGUAGGUGAACCUGCGGAGGGAUCAUUACACAAAUAUGAAGGCGGGCUGGAACCUCUCGGGGGUUACAGCCUUGCUGAAUUAUUCACCCUUGUCUUUUGCGUACUUCUUGUUUCCUUGGUGGGUUCGCCCACCACUAGGACAAACAUAAACCUUUUGUAAUUGCAAUCAGCGUCAGUAACAAAUUAAUAAUUACAACUUUCAACAACGGAUCUCUUGGUUCUGGCAUCGAUGAAGAACGCAGCGAAAUGCGAUAAGUAGUGUGAAUUGCAGAAUUCAGUGAAUCAUCGAAUCUUUGAACGCACAUUGCGCCCUUUGGUAUUCCAAAGGGCAUGCCUGUUCGAGCGUCAUUUGUACCCUCAAGCUUUGCUUGGUGUUGGGCGUCUUGUCUCUAGCUUUGCUGGAGACUCGCCUUAAAGUAAUUGGCAGCCGGCCUACUGGUUUCGGAGCGCAGCACAAGUCGCACUCUCUAUCAGCAAAGGUCUAGCAUCCAUUAAGCCUUUUUUCAACUUUUGACCUCGGAUCAGGUAGGGAUA
Molecule: ribosomal RNA, 572 nt
Filed under: Alternaria sp. JJP-2009a
Lineage: Eukaryota; Fungi; Ascomycota; Dothideomycetes; Pleosporales; Pleosporaceae
Description: eukaryotic LSU rRNA
Rfam family: 5.8S ribosomal RNA (bases 233-386)
Source: RNAcentral